AGUGAACGCUGGCGGUAGGCCUAACACAUGCAAGUCGAACGGCAGCACAGUAAGAGUUUGCUCUUACGGGUGGCGAGUGGCGGACGGGUGAGGAAUACAUCGGAAUCUACUUUUUCGUGGGGGAUAACGUAGGGAAACUUACGCUAAUACCGCAUAUGACCUACGGGUGAAAGCAGUGGAUCUUCGGACCUUGCGCGAUUGAAUGAGCCGAUGUCGGAUUAGCUAGUUGGCGGGGUAAAGGCCCACCAAGGCGACGAUCCGUAGCUGGUCUGAGAGGAUGAUCAGCCACACUGGAACUGAGACACGGUCCAGACUCCUACGGGAGGCAGCAGUGGGGAAUAUUGGACAAUGGGCGCAAGCCUGAUCCAGCCAUACCGCGUGGGUGAAGAAGGCCUUCGGGUUGUAAAGCCCUUUUGUUGGGAAAGAAAAGCAGCAGGUUAAUACCCCGCUGUUCUGACGGUACCCAAAGAAUAAGCACCGGCUAACUUCGUG
Molecule: ribosomal RNA, 492 nt
Filed under: uncultured bacterium
Lineage: Bacteria
Description: partial 16S ribosomal RNA
Rfam family: Bacterial small subunit ribosomal RNA
Source: RNAcentral